Molecule: ribosomal RNA, 279 nt
Filed under: uncultured bacterium
Lineage: Bacteria
Description: partial 16S ribosomal RNA
Rfam family: Bacterial small subunit ribosomal RNA
Source: RNAcentral
UGCCAGCCGCCGCGGUAAUACGGAGGGUGCAAGCGUUGUUCGGAAUUAUUGGGCGUAAAGCGCGUGUAGGCGGUUCGUUAAGUCUGAUGUGAAAGCCCGGGGCUCAACUGUGGAAUUGCCAUUGAAACUGGUGGGCUUGAGUGUCGUUGAGGCAGGCGGAAUUUAUGGUGUAGCGGUGAAAUGCAUAGAUACCAUAAAGAACACCGAUAGCGAAGGCAGCUUGCUUAGCGACAACUGACACUAAUGCACGAAAGCGUGGGUAGCGAACAGGAUUAGAUA